Molecule: ribosomal RNA, 497 nt
Filed under: uncultured Megasphaera sp.
Lineage: Bacteria; Bacillati; Bacillota; Negativicutes; Veillonellales; Veillonellaceae
Description: bacterial SSU rRNA
Rfam family: Bacterial small subunit ribosomal RNA
Source: RNAcentral
CGAGAGGGACAUGGGGAAGCUUGCUUCCUAUGAAAUCGAGUGGGCAAACGGUGAGUAAACGCGUAAACAACCUGCCCUUCGGGAUGGGGAUAACAGCCGGAAACGGCUGCUAAUACCGAAUACGAUCUUUUCGUCGCAUGACGGAAAAGAAGAAAAAGGAUGGCCUCUAUACAAAGCUAUCGCCGAAGGAGGGGUUUGCGUCUGAUUAGCUGGUUGGAGGGUAACGGCCCAACAAGGCGACGAUCAGUAGCCGGUCUGAGAGGAUGAACGGCCACAUUGGGACUGAGACACGGCCCAGACUCCUACGGGAGGCAGCAGUGGGGAAUCUUCCGCAAUGGACGAAAGUCUGACGGAGCAACGCCGCGUGAGUGAAGAAGGUCUUCGGAUUGUAAAGCUCUGUUAUACGGGACGAAAAAGACGGAUGCCAACAGUAUCCGUCCGUGACGGUACCGUAAGAGAAAGCCACGGCUAACUACGUGCCAGCAGCCGCGGUAAAU